GCUGCCUUCGUCCGCUCCGGUCGCAGCCGGCGGCGCCACAACUGUUAUCCUCCCACUCCCACCAGCCGGUUUCGCCCUUUUCGUCGCCAUCCGCUCCUUGUCGCCGUAUUGGAUGAGAAGCUCCACGGUGCCGCCGAGCUCAACCUUGGCAGAUUGAGGGACGGUGUCAACCUCGGCGGCGGAUUGAGGCGGCCCCUCUUCUCCACCCCUUAUCGGUGAACACAGAUGCAAGUGGUGUGGGUCGACGACUGCAGAUCGAGCGAUGAAUAACAUCUCAUUUGGUCAUGGAUCCUGACGGGUGAGAUCUACUCAGCUAUUUUGCAUUCGUGCAUGGUGGGUACCGACUCACCAUCAGCCUCUCCACCACUUACAUUUUCCUGGUUUUUCCUGCUUAGCAGAGUUUGAUCGUUGCGAAGUCUCUAGGCCGCAUCCCGUGCAGCUGAGCGCAACUGGCGCUCUGGAGACUCGGAUCUGGUGUACCUGCGGGUCAGCCAUCGUUUAGAGAGCAAUCUUCUUUAUACUGGAAGAGAAAUCAUGGCAUCUAUGGAAGACAUUGGAAGUGCAUUAAUCCCCCUAGUGGGUAUUGGUGAUUAAUGACAAAUGUGGUUAAGAGAUUAAUGAGUUUAUUGAGCUACUUUCAGAUGCAUUAGUCCAAGGUGUGGAAGGUGGAUGCUUGGAGACCCCCC
Molecule: long non-coding RNA, 686 nt
Organism: Oryza sativa Japonica Group (Japanese rice)
Lineage: Eukaryota; Viridiplantae; Streptophyta; Magnoliopsida; Poales; Poaceae
Source: RefSeq, a predicted model, not a curated record